This is a long non-coding RNA of Gopherus evgoodei (Goodes thornscrub tortoise), 98 nucleotides long. RefSeq lists it as uncharacterized. Lineage: Eukaryota; Metazoa; Chordata; Testudines; Testudinidae. The transcript is spliced from 3 exons. The record is from RefSeq and is a predicted model, not a curated record.
UCUGGUGGGCUUCCAGGACCAGCUGCUCCAAGAAGCAGUCAUUUAAGGAGUCAAGAAACUUUCUCUCCGCAUCCCAUCCUAAGUUUUUGUUAAAUAAA